Molecule: ribosomal RNA, 735 nt
Filed under: Salmonella enterica
Lineage: Bacteria; Pseudomonadati; Pseudomonadota; Gammaproteobacteria; Enterobacterales; Enterobacteriaceae
Also listed under: 1 other name
Description: partial 23S ribosomal RNA
Rfam family: Bacterial large subunit ribosomal RNA
Source: RNAcentral
UAAUGUUUGAUGUUCUAACGUGGACCCGUAAUCCGGGUUGCGGACAGUGUCUGGUGGGUAGUUUGACUGGGGCGGUCUCCUCCUAAAGAGUAACGGAGGAGCACGAAGGUUGGCUAAUCCUGGUCGGACAUCAGGAGGUUAGUGCAAUGGCAUAAGCCAGCUUGACUGCGAGCGUGACGGCGCGAGCAGGUGCGAAAGCAGGUCAUAGUGAUCCGGUGGUUCUGAAUGGAAGGGCCAUCGCUCAACGGAUAAAAGGUACUCCGGGGAUAACAGGCUGAUACCGCCCAAGAGUUCAUAUCGACGGCGGUGUUUGGCACCUCGAUGUCGGCUCAUCACAUCCUGGGGCUGAAGUAGGUCCCAAGGGUAUGGCUGUUCGCCAUUUAAAGUGGUACGCGAGCUGGGUUUAGAACGUCGUGAGACAGUUCGGUCCCUAUCUGCCGUGGGCGCUGGAGAACUGAGGGGGGCUGCUCCUAGUACGAGAGGACCGGAGUGGACGCAUCACUGGUGUUCGGGUUGUCAUGCCAAUGGCACUGCCCGGUAGCUAAAUGCGGAAGAGAUAAGUGCUGAAAGCAUCUAAGCACGAAACUUGCCCCGAGAUGAGUUCUCCCUGAGACUUUAGGUCUCCUGAAGGAACGUUGAAGACGACGACGUUGAUAGGCCGGGUGUGUAAGCGCAGCGAUGCGUUGAGCUAACCGGUACUAAUGAACCGUGAGGCUUAACCUUACAACGCCGAAG